Molecule: ribosomal RNA, 445 nt
Filed under: uncultured bacterium
Lineage: Bacteria
Description: bacterial SSU rRNA
Rfam family: Bacterial small subunit ribosomal RNA
Source: RNAcentral
CCCAGACUCCUACGGGAGGCAGCAGUGGGGAAUAUUGCACAAUGGGGGAAACCCUGAUGCAGCAACGCCGCGUGAGUGAAGAAGUCAUUCGUGAUGUAAAGCUCUAUCAGCAGGGAAGAAAAUGACGGUACCUGAGUAAGAAGCCCCGGCUAACUACGUGCCAGCAGCCGCGGUAAUACGUAGGGGGCAAGCGUUAUCCGGAUUUACUGGGUGUAAAGGGAGCGUAGACGGCUAAGCAAGUCUGAAGUGAAAGCCCGGGGCUUAACCCCGGGACUGCUUUGGAAACUGUUAAGCUAGAGUGCUGGAGAGGUAAGUGGAAUUCCUAGUGUAGCGGUGAAAUGCGUAGAUAUUGGGAGGAACACCAGUGGCGAAGGCGGCUUACUGGACAGUAACUGACGUUGAGGCUCGAAAGCGUGGGGAGCAAACAGGAUUAGAUACCCCUGUA